Molecule: small RNA, 76 nt
Filed under: Xanthomonas arboricola pv. populi
Lineage: Bacteria; Pseudomonadati; Pseudomonadota; Gammaproteobacteria; Lysobacterales; Lysobacteraceae
Description: sX9 sRNA
Rfam family: Xanthomonas sRNA sX9
Source: RNAcentral
AUGUACCACUCGUACACUCCAGGUCCCGCGUGCCGGCCACGCCAACCUGAUGACUGCUCGCCACGUGUGGUCAGCC